GCCAUACCGCGUGGGUGAUGAAGGCCUAUCGGGUUGUAAAGCCCUUUUGUUGGGAAAGAAAUCCAGCUGGUUAAUACCCGGUUGGGAUGACGGUACCCAAAGAAUAAGCACCGGCUAACUUCGUGCCAGCAGCCGCGGUAAUACGAAGGGUGCAAGCGUUACUCGGAAUUACUGGGCGUAAAGCGUGCGUAGGUGGUCGUUUAAGUCUGUUGUGAAAGCCCUGGGCUCAACCUGGGAACUGCAGUGGAAACUGGACGACUAGAGUGUGGUAGAGGGUAGCGGAAUUCCUGGUGUAGCAGUGAAAUGCGUAGAGAUCAGGAGGAACAUCCAUGGCGAAGGCAGCUACCUGGACCAACACUGACACUGAGGCACGAAAGCGUGGGGAGCAAACAGGAUUAGAUACCCUGGUAGUCCACGCCCUAAACGAUGCGAACUGGAUGUUGGGUGCAAUUUGGCACGCAGUAUCGAAGCUAACGCGUUAAGUUCGCCGCCUGGGGAGUACGGUCGCAAGACUGAAACUCAAAGGAAUUGACGGGGGCCCGCACAAGCGGUGGAGUAUGUGGUUUAAUUCGAUGCAACGCGAAGAACCUUACCUGGCCUUGACAUGUCGAGAACUUUCCAGA
This 623-nucleotide ribosomal RNA is filed under the name Stenotrophomonas sp. Ri3Pw_6228. RNAcentral's name for it is "bacterial SSU rRNA". It matches the Rfam family "Bacterial small subunit ribosomal RNA", at positions 391 to 1004 of the family's 1533-position model. Lineage: Bacteria; Pseudomonadati; Pseudomonadota; Gammaproteobacteria; Lysobacterales; Lysobacteraceae. The record is from RNAcentral.